This is a small nuclear RNA of Camelus dromedarius (Arabian camel), 104 nucleotides long. Lineage: Eukaryota; Metazoa; Chordata; Mammalia; Artiodactyla; Camelidae. The record is from Ensembl.
GCUUGCUUCAGCUGACAUAUACUAAAAUUGGAAUGAUACAGAAAAGAUUAGCAUGGCCCUUGAACAAGGAUGACAUGCGAAUUUGUGAAGCAUUCCAUAUUUUU